This is a long non-coding RNA of Betta splendens (Siamese fighting fish), 2890 nucleotides long. RefSeq lists it as uncharacterized. The record is from RefSeq and is a predicted model, not a curated record. The transcript is spliced from 3 exons. Lineage: Eukaryota; Metazoa; Chordata; Actinopteri; Anabantiformes; Osphronemidae.
UUUGGGGUUUUCUUUGCUGCGGAAAAGACAGAAGAUGCUGGUUUUAGAUCAAGCAUUUUGUCCACAGCUGCAGUGAAACAGUAUAAGACGCGCGAGGCACAUCCGGUUAUACUGAUGCUCAGCUUUAGCAUUGUUGUACUGCUGCACACUUAUUAUCAGCCAUGCUAGUGUGUUAGUGUGACGACUGCUCCCGUCUGAUUCUGGGGCCUUUGUUCACGUCGUCCCCCAUCAUUCACGUCAUCCCGUUACUUCUGUAAAUCCUCAGCACCGGCACCAAAUGCAGCCGCCUGUUAAGACGCGUGGCAUUCGUUGUGUGGGGUUUGCUUGGACUAAAUGACGGAUCUUGGAUGUGGGACUGACCUACAUACGGAGCAGAAGAGGAUGAACCUCCGUCCUCCUUCACGUGUUCGCUCCCAGCGGCACUAAAGCCAGUGUGGCCUCUUUAAGGCCCCGCUGCCCCAACCUUAUUUAACUCCUUCCUGUCAGACCAGAGACAACAGCCCCGUCCGUGAUCGAUGAGCAGCGUCUGAUGCGGUCCCCAACACUGAGACAAACAAAGCCCGGCGGCUCGGCUCAGCUCGCUCUCUGUGCUACGCCAAUACAGCCUGCAGCCACAAUGUGAGCUACAGCCAAGGUGAAAAUGGGAGGAAGAGACGGGAGAGGUGAGGAGGAAAAGCCCCUGAGAACACAUCAAGAUCCCAUCAUUCCUGCAUGCAUCUCCCCGUACCCCUCCCCCCCGUCCCCUACACCCCUCCCGCGUCCACUGCUAUAGGGAGGAUGGAUUUACCUUCUGUCCAGGAUUUCAGGCACUUCGUCAUAGAUGAGUCCCGGCUGCAGCUCUUCCUCAGUGAAGGAGAGGCCGGGCCGGCUGAGAGCGGAGACCAAGGCGAGGGAGCAGAGGAGGAAUGCGUGUGCAGCCAUUGAGACAAUGAGAGGAGACUGCCGCCGCUUGAGCGCCGCUUCAUAAUCUGCUCUCCUAGCAGUGCCCGACUCCCCGCUCCCCCGACUGGCAGCGGCCGCGGCCAAUGGGAGGCGAGCAGAGCCGCUCGGCGUGCGUCACAGCCCCCUCCCUGCACCUUCCCCUCCUCCCCCGCCUCCCCCCGCUCCCAUCCUACUCUCUCCGCUGUCAUCCUCCCUCUGCCUUUUUCGCCACUCCGCUCACCCUCCCACGUCCACCCCUGUGCUCUCUCUACCUUCUCUUCCUCUCCUCCGCGCGCUCGUAGCCACAGGCGAGCCCUAAGUAUAGACAACAGCUCAUUGGUUUUCAUAACACAUCUCAUCAUACCUAUGGUACCUACGCUCAUCCACAUGUGGACACGCUGCACUGUCACCAGCCCCUGUAGACAAUCACCUGGGAAUGUCAAGGUCAGAUUGUCUGAGGGGAUCUGGGGAUGUUUACAUGGCUUUACACGGCCACAGAACGCAACACGGAGCCCACGGAGCCGCGGCUACGUGACCUAGAUCUCCAGCAUGCUGCCACAAUAGCAGAAUUAAUUCACUUGAUCUAUGUGUUGUUGUGAGCACAGAGAAGGCCCGCGGCUGAGGAAAUUGUCCACUGAGGCUGCAAAUAUGGAUGACAGGAGCAGCUGAGCAUCCGUGGGAUGAGACGGGAACGAGGGUCCGGCCCCGACGACCCUGCCGGCUGAUCCCCACCCACUCAUUAUUGAGCCCCCCCCAUGCGUGAGGCCACACAGGGACCUGAUACACCCUCUCAUGUCUGUUACUUCCAUAUCCAACAAUGUGACGCUGUUUCAGAGCCGAACAUUAAGAGUCGCUUACGUAACCAAGUGUUGUGACCUACUAUCGCGGCUGAUUUUCACAUUGAUGCACGGCAGUGAUUCACACUGAAGGACCGACUGCAGAGCAACGCUUUAAACAACAAACUCCUGCCGCUAGAUCCGCCUCGCUCUGCACAGUUCAAACCCGCUCUGACAACGUUUUAUACAAACGCAUGAUAACUGUUUGUCAUCUGUUACCGUGGGUACGGACCUUGAUUCUACACACUGUUAAACAUGUGCUGUAUCGUCAUCAGAACAAGCAUUGGUUUGUAAUGUUUGCAUCGAAGGUGAUGCAGGUAGUGCGUGUGUGUGUGUGUGUGUGUGUGUGUGUGUGUGUGUGUGUGUGUGUGUGUGUGUGUGUGUGUGUGUCCUGGGUCAUACAGUAACAGGAGGUGACUGAAGGCUGCCUCAGCCCUCUGUCUGCCUGCCACCGUGUCCUCAGCGGGCCGUUGUGUCCUCCCACCGCCGGGAAAGCGCAGACUGGACCGUCGGCGCUGGCGUGACAGCGUGACGGCGUCGCAGAGCGUCCGGAGUCCGAUGAGCAGGUGUGACCACCUUAAAGGAAGCAACGUCACCACUUCGGGCAGCUGGUGGAGACAGACGUCUGACUCGUACUUUGUUCUUGAAGCAAAAAAAUAAUGUCUCGCUGAGAUUGACUGGUGUGGAUUCGCCGCAGCAGCUGUGCUUUCAGCAGCAGUCGUGUUGGGGUUGUGAGGAUCAGAUUUAAGGUGGACUUUUUGACCUGGGUGAUGUAACGGGUUCAAGCUGUUUUGGAUCGUGUGUUGCCGCUAUAGGACUGCUAAUCUGGCGGCGAGCAUGAGCAUCUGAUCCCUGCAGCGUAGGAGCAACAAAUGCUACAGCCCGGCCUCAUUAAGAUGCCUCCACUGUCACUAGUGGGUCGCUUGAUGGAAACGUUUGGCUCCACCUUUAACUCACAAUGAACAGAAAAAACUGAAAACAUUGGUAUGUUUUUAUUAGUAUAGUAAUUUGUUGUGUGUUACAAUACUGUCUCUGUAGCCUUUUUACUGAUCUUGCUGUGUCCACACACACACACACACACACACACACACACACACACACAAACACACACACACACACACACAGUCUUUCAU